Culex pipiens pallens (northern house mosquito) is the source of this 2036-nucleotide long non-coding RNA. RefSeq lists it as uncharacterized. Lineage: Eukaryota; Metazoa; Arthropoda; Insecta; Diptera; Culicidae. The transcript has 3 exons. The record is from RefSeq and is a predicted model, not a curated record.
AAUAUUUGUUACAACUUGUUAGUUUAUGUUUUUGGCAAAUUGAAAUUAGCUGUUUGUCAUAAGCUUUAAGCUAACAAAGAUAAAUAGGUUAUCUAAAACAAAACUCACUGAAACAAAUCAUCAAUCAAAUUUGGCUGUAGCGGUUCAAUUAAAAAAGAUACUCCGUACAUUUUGACAUAUUCGAAAAAAUAUUGAUUUUGACCAACGUUUUACUACUGAGAACCACAUUGAAAAUCUUAUGUAACUUCGCACUUCCAUUUAUUUUUUUGUUUUUAAAAAUAAUCAGAGGUAGACUUAAUACUUAAUUAAUACUUAAUACUCAAUACUCAAAUUGAAUUUAUUUAUGUUUCCUAGGGUAAUUCAAACUCGAGCUUCUUCGGAACUACCCCCUGAAAUCAAAGAUUGACACAUCACUAGGAUAUAUUCCAAAUUUGAGCUCAUUCUGACCACGGGUUCCUAAAAAUAUGGUGUCUUGAGGAAAGUUUUUCUAAAAUUAAUGAAAGUUCUACAUCUGAGAAAUGGUUAGAAUCGGAUAACUAUUGCGCCCUCCAAGGGUAAAAAAGUGAAACAGUUGUCAUUCUCCAUACAUUUUAACGAUUUCUCCCAUACAAAUUUCAUACGAUUGGUCAGAAUGAGCUCAUAUUUGGAAUUAGGGUUUUUUUAACAAUAGCCAAAAUCUUGGUAAACAAGCAACUUCAACCUUUUGAACACCUAGCUUUGAGUAGGAAUCUUGCAGUAGAGUAUACCAAAGCCAUGUUGUAGAGCGCACACGCACAGAAAUUGUGUAAGUUUGAAACAACAAACAUGUUUCUUAACACCAGCAAUCAUGUUUUAUUAAGCGAACAAACCAUAUUUACCAGUUUAAUAAACAUAUUUUAUCAACACUACCAUGAUUUUUAUUGGUUUAACAAACCGGUUUGCCAUUUGCGCGUUUCUUUUUUCUAGCGUGUAGCAAAAUUUUACAGUGUACUUGUGAAAACUUUUCGCUGCUCAGAUCAAUAUGGCGGACGAAAGCGACUUCAAAGACGGAGUGGAAGUUAUGGGAGAAUUUGUGUUUAAAUGGCUGAGUCCAGAGGAAGUACAAGUAUUCAAUUUGUAAAGUGAGAUACUAGUGCAGGUAGAGGUGAUUUCAGCGUUCAAAAAUUAUCGAGCGAUCGGAAGUGGAAGUCUUGGUCCAGCCACCUUUCUUUUCUUAGAGGAUGGUGAAACGAUGGUUGUCUGCUUUUUCAUGAACAAUAAUCCGGAAAAUUUCAUUCCAGGGUCUCCAAGCGUUGACGACCGAAGCGUUCCUUCCAGCGGUCGAUCCGGAGACGACGGCACAAACCGUCGUCUAUCGAGAGCAGUGCACGGCCACUUACCUGCUUACGAACUUCUUAAGAGGCAUCGAUCAUUACAACUCAUCGGAACAGAUGUUUCUAACCCGGAAGAACCAAAUUGCGGUUACAAACAUUGCUAUGGUCAAGUUCUACUACCGGUUGCCGGACCAAGUUCGAAAAGUUUCUUCAGUGCUCUUAUCCAGAUUCUCAGAAGAAAAGGCGUCUAACUUCACUAGACGGCAAUUUCUCUGAAGAUAUUUAAAAUGUCACCGUGCUAUCGCUGCCGAAUCACUUUUUAUCGUGCAAACAUCCGUUCGGCAAGACUGCCAAAUCCAAACCCCUUACUUACGGAAAACUGUACUUUCUAUAUUGUAACUUGAAUGAGAGCAUUAACUGAAAAUAAAACAACUAAAUCCAACUUUUUUAUUGUUUGUAUUGAUUGAUUGGCUAGAUAAGAAAAAUAGUUAAAAGGAUUUAUUGAAUCUAAAAUCGUGAUGUUUCAUUUAACCCCACAUGUUUGUAGAUUCAACAAACAUGUUUGUUACACUGACCAUAAUGAUUAUUGGAAUUACAAACAAGCUACAUUUGAAUGGCAACUAUCUUGUUUAUCAAACCCACAAACUUGUUGGGUUGAAUUUGAUAAACAUGUUUGCUGGCCCUGAGAUGACAAUCAUGUUUGUGGGGAAACCCCAACAUUUUGCUGGAUGUACUAUCGGAUUU